AUACGGAGGGUGCGAGCGUUGCUCGGAAUUAUUGGGCGUAAAGAGCAUGUAGGCGGUCUGUUAAGUCUGGUGUGAAAGCCCGGGGCUCAACCCCGGAAGUGCAUUGGAUACUGGCAGACUUGAGUAUGGGAGAGGAAAGCGGAAUUCCGAGUGUAGGAGUGAAAUCCGUAGAUAUUCGGAGGAACACCAGUGGCGAAGGCGGCUUUCUGGACCAAUACUGACGCUGAGAUGCGAAAGCGUGGGGAGCGAACAGGAUUAGAAACCCCAGUAGUCC
This 274-nucleotide ribosomal RNA is filed under the name uncultured bacterium. RNAcentral's name for it is "partial 16S ribosomal RNA". It matches the Rfam family "Bacterial small subunit ribosomal RNA", at positions 523 to 796 of the family's 1533-position model. The record is from RNAcentral.